UGGGGAAUUUUGGACAAUGGGGGAAACCCUGAUCCAGCCAUCCCGCGUGUGCGAUGAAGGCCUUCGGGUUGUAAAGCACUUCUGGCAGGAAAGAAAAGUCAUGGGUUAAUACCCCGUGAAACUGACGGUACCUGCAGAAUAAGCAACGGCUAACUACGUGCCAGCAGCCGCGGUAAUACGUAGGGUGCAAGCGUUAAUCGGAAUUACUGGGCGUAAAGCGUGCGCAGGCGGUUCGGAAAGAAAGAUGUGAAAUCCCAGAGCUCAACUUUGGAACUGCAUUUUUAACUACCGGGCUAGAGUGUGUCAGAGGGAGGUGGAAUUCCUCGUGUAGCAGUGAAAUGCGUAGGUAUGCGGAGGAACUCCGAUGGCGAAGGCAGCCUCCGGGGAUAACACUGGCGCUCAUGCACGAAAGCGUGGGGAGCAAACAGG
Molecule: ribosomal RNA, 429 nt
Filed under: Acidobacteriota bacterium
Lineage: Bacteria; Pseudomonadati; Acidobacteriota
Description: Acidobacteria bacterium partial 16S ribosomal RNA
Rfam family: Bacterial small subunit ribosomal RNA
Source: RNAcentral